This 3281-nucleotide long non-coding RNA is filed under the name Marmota monax (woodchuck). Lineage: Eukaryota; Metazoa; Chordata; Mammalia; Rodentia; Sciuridae. The record is from RNAcentral.
CUGCCAUUGGUGCAGGGUUUUGAGCUGGUUCACCUGAAAUUGAGGCCUCUGGGGAGUGAUCCCUACCUUGUUAAUAGUAUAUCCUAGGUAGUUAUAAGGAUACUGAAUCUGCACCUUCUCUGGGGCUAUAAUCAGUCCGGCCCCCUUUAACAGGGACUGGAGGACUUCAUAAGACUGGAAAAGUGCUUUCCUAUCAGGGCCUGCCAACAAUAUAUCAUCCAUGUAAUGGACGAGGUAAAAGUUUGGGAAUUGUUGCCUAAAGGGUUGCAGAAUUUUUGCUAUAAAGUACUGACACAUAGUAGGGCUAUUGGCCAUUCCUUGAGGUAAGACAGUCCAUUCAAACCGCUGAUAGGGUUCCCUAAAAUUUAUUGAAGGUAAAGAGAAAGCAAAACGUUUACAAUCCUGGGGGGCCAGGGGAAUAGAAAAGAAGCAAUCUUUUAGGUCCAAAAUAAUAAGAUGCCAAUCUUUAAGGAUAGCCGUGGGGAAGGGUAGUCCUGGCUGUAAAGUUCCCAUGGGCUGCAUGGUAUUAUUAAUAGCCCGCAGGUCUUGGAGAAGCCUCCAUUUUCCAGACCCCUUUCUUAUGACAAAAAUAGGAGUGUUCCAGGGGGAAGUGGAAGGCACUAUAUGCCCCACCCUAAGCUGUUCCUGAACCAGAAGGGUCGUGGCCUGCAAUUUGUCCUUAGUUAGGGGCCACUGUUCUAUCCACACAGGGUCAUAUGAUAACCAAGUAAUAGAUAGAGGACGUGGCCGCAUUUCAGUGGCCCCUAGGAUAAAUUUCCUAGCCCCCUCCGAUCUCCUCCACUUCUGGUAAUUUCUUCUGUAGGGUCCACAGGCGUUGCCCUUCCCUCAUGUCUUUUCCCCAGUCCUUUUCCGGGAAGCCAUCCCAUAUCUAACAUCAUGUCAUUAACAAAUUUAUUACUCCCUUUUAGGGUCUGAGUGGUGAGGAUAGCUCCCAUUUGUUGAAGUAGGUCCCUUCCCCAAAGGUUUGUGGGGAGUCCAGCCACUACGUAAGGCUGAAAAUAACCACUGUGUCCUUCCUCAUCUCUCCAUUUUAGAAAGGAGGCACUUUUUUUCUGGUCUCGUCUGCCCAAUCCCCUGUAAUACAGCUGAGGGAUCUUGGAGAGGCCAAGCAGAUGGCCAUUGUUUCUUAGAGAUAACAGAGACAUCAGCUCCUGAAUCUAAUAUCCCCUUGAAGAUUUUAUCCUGUAUUUUAAUGGUUAACUGUGGUCGGGAGUCCAAGUGUGCUACCCAAAAGGUUUGAGGGGAGCCGGUGGAACCAAAACUGCCAUUACCCCGGGCUGCCUGUAGGGCGGCUGUAGACGCCGCCGACAGCAGCAAUAAUUGUGCUAUGCGUUCUCCGGGAGGAAUAAUAACGAUCCCUUGGGUAGCCUCGGCAACAAUUUUUAACUCCCCGUGGUAAUCACCAUCAACCACACCUGUAAGAAUUCUGAGCCCUUUAUGCAGAGUGCUGCCUCUUCCCAGUAUCAGUCCCACAAUUCCCUCCGGCAAAGGGCCAAAGACUCCAGUUGGCAGGGUCUGGGGACCCAUCUGCGGAGUCAGUACUGCUCGGGAGGUGGAACUGAGGUCCAAUCCUGCACUUCCCGGUGUUCCCCUGGGGAGUUCCCGGAUAGAAAGGGGUUGGUCAGGGGGCACUGUUUCGUCCCUGCACUGCCCCGUACACUUUGGCUUCCGGGGCCCGGGGCUGGCCCCUGCUCCCGUUUCCCGACGGUAUCGGGUUACCCUGGAUGUCAAAUUUUGACCUGCACUCACUACUCCAAUGAUUUCCUUUAUGACAUCGAGGACAAAUUCCAAGCAUCCCUCUGCCAGCACCCUCGCUCCUUUCCGGGCAGUUUCUCCUUAUAUGUCCCUCUUUCCCACACUUAAAACACCCCUUAGAGUGGGUUCCCGUUAUCAGAUGUUUGCAUUCCAGUCUUAAGGGUAGCAGCCAAAACCUGACCAGUAAUAUGAGGCCCAUCUAUAUCUUUGCAUGCUCGAAUCAUGUCAUCUAUACUUUUGGCCCGGGAGGACUUAAUAGCAUUUUGGCAGUAAGUGUUAGCGUUUUCAUAUGCCAGUUGUCUAAUAAGUGGCAUAGCCUGUUCCAGAUUAGGGAAUAUUUUUCCAGCCGCCUGCAUUAGGCGGGCUAUAAAGUCCGAAUAAGGUUCAGAGGGCCCUUAAGAGAUCUUGGAAAUUUUUGCUUCAGUCUUAGAAACGGGCAAGGCUUUCCAGGCAUGGACCGCAGCUGAGGCUAUCUGAGCAUAGACCCCCAGGAUCAUAAUUAAUUUCCUGAUUUAUGACAGCAUAUUGUCCUGAGCCUGUUAACAUUUCGAGGUUACGCCGUGGGAAGCCGGCGUCCUGAUUGACUCGGGCUAGCUCGUGACACCUCUCUUGAUUUUCACUUUUCCACAACAAAAAAUCCCCUCCGGACAACACAGCCCUGGGAAGCUGUUGCCAAACUAAAUCCCAAUCAUUGUUAUUGAGAAAGCCUCCUGUCAGAAACCAAGGACAAGCCUGGGCGAUAACUUCAAUGAAUUCGGUUGCAGUCUUAGUUUUUAUUCCUGUUCCUUGUGUAUUUAACAGCUCUUUUAGUUCGUUGGCCAGACGAACCUUCGCUGUUGAGUUACCCAUGGUACGUACCCUGUCUCUUUAAAUUACCUUUAAACCAAUCCUCCCCCUUCUACCUUUAGAAAGUGAGCCCCGUACGCUUACCCCUACUUUCCGGAUCUCGGUGGGAGCCUCCAGAUGCCGCGUCCGGCUAACGGAGCCGAGCCCGGGGUUAAAAAAUACACAGGACACCAAGGUUCUUCAUCCAGGAGGGAGCGUGUGCGCGCUUUAUUGCCAAAUUUGUUCCCCUUAUAUAUCUUUUUAACAGCUGCGGGAAAUUACUCAAAAGUGAGGAGGGGAGAGUAGUAACUGCGUCCUUGGGUUACCGUCACGUCACCGUCCCCUAUCAGGAGGCUCGAACAGGUCAAGAUGUUCCCGAGAGACACAUAUGUGCGAGGCAGAUAAACAGGGAACCGCAAGCCCGCGUCAUGGCCUUGUGAGCUGGCCACAUUGACAUGCAUAACAAAGAACUGGGGGUUGAGUCCCCAGGGGCCAGGGCGGGCCUGCUAUCAGCANUUGAAUUUUGAUCUUAUCUUGGGCUAGUGGUGAAACAGUAUGACCCUCUCAGGAUGUGGUAGUAGCGAGACCUACUCCCAGUUAGCCACAUGGCCAUUAGGGGGAAACAACUUAUGUCCUACAGUAUGCUGUGCUGUGAGGUUGGGAUGUGUGGUAGAUUAACC